Molecule: ribosomal RNA, 484 nt
Filed under: uncultured bacterium
Lineage: Bacteria
Description: partial 16S ribosomal RNA
Rfam family: Bacterial small subunit ribosomal RNA
Source: RNAcentral
AUUGAACGCUGGCGGUAGGCCUAACACAUGCAAGUCGAGCGGCUGAAGAGAACUUGCUUCUGGAUUCAGCGGCCGACGGGCGAGCAAUGCCUAGGAAUCUCCCAGGUAGUGUUGGAUAACGUGCGGACAUGGGCGAUCAUACCGCAAACCCCCAGACGGACUAAGUGGGGGAGCUUCGGACCUUACGCCAUCACACGAGCCGAGGUCGGAUUAGCUAGUUGGUGGGGUAAAGGCCUACCAAGGCGACGAUCCGUAACUGGUCUGAGAGGAUGAUCAGUCACACUGGAACUGAGACACGGUCCAGACUCCUACGGGAGGCAGCAGUGGGGAAUAUUGGACAAUGGGCGCAAGCCUGAUCCAGCCAUGCCGCGUGUGUGAAGAAGGUCUUCGGAUUGUAAAGCACUUUUGGUUGGAAGGAAGGGCAGUAAGUUAAUACCUUGCUGUUUUGACGUUACCAACAGAAUAAGCACCGGCUAACUUCGUG